RNAcentral lists this non-coding RNA (24 nucleotides) under Arabidopsis thaliana (thale cress). The record is from RNAcentral. Lineage: Eukaryota; Viridiplantae; Streptophyta; Magnoliopsida; Brassicales; Brassicaceae.
ACUUACCUCUGGAGCUUAAAUGGA